This 845-nucleotide long non-coding RNA is filed under the name Chelonoidis abingdonii (Abingdon island giant tortoise). RNAcentral describes it as "lncRNA (ENSCABG00000019014.1)". Lineage: Eukaryota; Metazoa; Chordata; Testudines; Testudinidae. The record is from RNAcentral.
AGGCGGCUGUAAUACAGCUAAGGAUAUAGUGUGUGUGUUCUUAUCCACAGGAUUUCAUGCUGUGCUGUAGUGGGAUCCCUUACCACUGGAUUGGCCUCUGGAGGGAACAAAGCAAGGGCCAGCCCUGGAAGUGGACCAACGGUACCAUAUUCAACAACCUGUUUCAGGUCAGAGGGGAAGGGCAGUGCGCCUACCUGGAUGAAAAUGGGGUCAGCAGUUCCAGGUGCUACUCAGAGAGACAUUUCAUCUGCAAGCGGCUGGACGAGUGCUCUAGAAGGAAGCCCAGUGCCGCAGGAGGGGACAGAUCACUUAAAGGAGCUUGGUAUGUGUGCCGGUGAGUUUUUUGAUGGCUGCUGAGCUUGAUGGGCGAGUGACAGUCCAGUCCACAGGUAUGACACACCCACACAUUAGCAACGCUCUGAAUCUGAGCAGCAGAUUCUUUUCUCCUCUGACGCCGAUCACCACAAAGUUUGAUUCAGUCCUUCUCACAAUGCCUCGCUCCAUCUACAAGCUGACUCUGCCAACCGGUGCGGCAUUCUGCAUUCCUUUCCCAAUCAUCCACAGAGAUUCCAAAGGACACUAAGCUUUGCAAGCAUCCUGGAAUCUGUGCAGCGGUCUGCCUCUCUUUCUAGACCCUUCGCGAGCGUCAAAGUACUGAAAACUCUUCAGGAUCCUGUAACACUGGUCUACAAUUUUUCAGAAGUCAUCUGCUUCAGAGAUAAAAUGUGGUAUUUAUUAUGUAUUUUGAUGUGCUGAAUUCAAAUAUGACAAUUAAAACAACUGAUUGGCUUCUGUUUCUAAGCCAAAGGGUUAUAUAAAUAAAAUGUAUUAUGAAACAAAAGGCA